This 327-nucleotide long non-coding RNA is filed under the name Anas platyrhynchos platyrhynchos (common mallard). Its description in RNAcentral is "lncRNA (ENSAPLG00000018140.1)". Lineage: Eukaryota; Metazoa; Chordata; Aves; Anseriformes; Anatidae. The record is from RNAcentral.
CAGCAUGAAAUGAAGGCCAUGAAGUGAUGGUAAACCAUUUCUUGUGUCUGCCAUAGCAAAUCAAGUGCUUUCCUGUCCAUCUCUCUGUGCAGCCUAGUCCCAGAGGUUUCCCUUAGAAAGAGAGACAGCUCAGUUAUUUUCCUUCCUCAUCCAGAGGGGUGCCAAACCCAUAUUUCCAAUACACAGGUAUGUGCCCCAGACCUUAAACACCCAGCUGUGUUGGGUAGAGAAAACCUCCACCAUCCCAUGCAACCUUCAGCCAAAAGCCCAAAGGAGGGGUGUGGUGGUUUUACCGUACUGGGCAGCUAAACCCCACAACCGCUCUCU